Molecule: ribosomal RNA, 253 nt
Filed under: uncultured bacterium
Lineage: Bacteria
Description: partial 16S ribosomal RNA
Rfam family: Bacterial small subunit ribosomal RNA
Source: RNAcentral
UACGUAGGGUGCAAGCGUUGUCCGGAAUUAUUGGGCGUAAAGAGCUCGUAGGCGGUCUGUUGCGUCUGCUGUGAAAACCCGGGGCUUAACCCCUGACUUGCAGUGGAUACGGACAGACUAGAGGUAGGUAGGGGAGAAUGGAAUUCCCGGUGUAGCGGUGAAAUGCGCAGAUAUCGGGAGGAACACCGGUGGCGAAGGCGGUUCUCUGGGCCUUACCUGACGCUGAGGAGCGAAAGCGUGGGGAGCGAACAGG